UUUGACAAUGCUGGGAUGUGAUGGGGAGCGAAAUUUAGUAGCGAAGUAGCUGAUUUCACACUGUCAAGAAAAGUCUCUAUCGAGGUUAAAGGUACCCGUACCGCAAACCGACACAGGUGGGUGAGGAGAGUAUCCUAAGGCCCGCGAGAGAACUGUUGUUAAGGAACUCGGCAAAAUGACCCCGUAACUUAGGGAUAAGGGGUGCCACCAUACGGUGGCCGCAGAGAAUAGGCCCAAGCGACUGUUUACCAAAAACAUAGGUUUCUGCUAAGUCGCAAGACGAUGUAUAGGAGCUGACGCCUGCCCGGUGCUGGAAGGUUAAGGGGAUCUGUUAGAGCAAUCGAAGCAGUGAACUUAAGCCCCAGUAAACGGCGGCCGUAACUAUAACGGUCCUAAGGUAGCGAAAUUCCUUGUCGGGUAAGUUCCGACCCGCACGAAAGGCGUAACGAUUUGGGCACUGUCUCAACAACAGACUCGGUGAAAUUGUAAUUCCGGUGAAGAUGCCGGAUACCUGCGACAGGACGGAAAGACCCCAUGGAGCUUUACUGUAGCUUGACAUUGGGUCUUGGUACUACAUGUACAGGAUAGGUGGGAGGCUUUGAAACCAGGACGCCAGUUUUGGCGGAGCCAUCCUUGGGAUACCACCCUUGUAGUACUGGGACUCUAACCAUAGGCCAUGAAUCUGGUCUUGGGACACUGUCAGGUGGGCAGUUUGACUGGGGCGGUCGCCUCCCAAAAGGUAACGGAGGCGCUCAAAGGUUCUCUCAGUACGGUCGGAAAUCGUACGUAGAGUGUAAAGGCAAAAGAGAGCUUGAUUGCAAGACAUACAGGUCGAGCAAGGAUGAAAAUCGGACUUAGUGAUCCGGUGGUUCUGCGUGGAAGGGCCAUCGCUCAACGGAUAAAAGCUACCCUGGGGAUAACAGGCUUAUCUCCCCCAAGAGUCCACAUCGACGGGGAGGUUUGGCACCUCGAUGUCGGCUCAUCACAUCCUGGGGCUGUAGUAGGUCCCAAGGGUUGGGCUGUUCGCCCAUUAAAGUGGUACGCGAGCUGGGUUCAGAACGUCGUGAGACAGUUCGGUCCCUAUCCGUCGCAGGCGUAGGAAAUUUGAGGAGACCUGUCCUUAGUACGAGAGGACCGGGAUGGACGUACCUCUGGUGUACCAGUUGUUCUGCCAAGGGCAUGGCUGGGUAGCUAUGUACGGAAUGGAUAAGCGCUGAAAGCAUCUAAGCGCGAAGCCAACUUCAAGAUAAGAUUUCCCACCGCAAGGGUAAGACCCCAGAAAGACUAUCUGGUUGAUAGGUCGAAGGUGUAAGUGCAGCAAUGUAUUUAGCUUAUCGAUACUAAUAGGUCGAGGACUUGACCAA
Molecule: ribosomal RNA, 1364 nt
Filed under: Clostridioides sp. ZZV14-6153
Lineage: Bacteria; Bacillati; Bacillota; Clostridia; Peptostreptococcales; Peptostreptococcaceae
Description: partial 23S ribosomal RNA
Rfam family: Bacterial large subunit ribosomal RNA
Source: RNAcentral